GCCUCAUGGAUUCCAAGGAAUGGAAUCUUGGGCCAUGUGUGUGCCACAGGGAUCCCAUUUUCAGGACCAGUCAUCCUCCUUCUUCACACAUAGAAAGUAAAAGGGGUAAUUAUCCCCCAGGAACACUUUAAUUGUACCAAUUAACCUGACCACGUUUUGCAAUCAAAGCCAAGCAGAGAAGAGGAUUUAAAGUGAUCAAACACCAUUUUAUGGACUGGAGAGUCUCACUUCAUCACGCAGGCUAGAGUGCAGUGGCUCAGUCUCAGCUUACAACUUCUGCAUCCCGGAUUCAACCAUUCUUGUGCCUCAGUCUCCCAUUACAGGUUUACUCUUCAAGGGAAAGACUUUGCCAGAAGUUUAGUUCUUCUGUGAAAGCACAUUUACUUGACCCUAGCUACCUCUAGCCUUUCUGGCUUACCUACAGGGAGGAAAAAAAAAGGUAAAAAACAAUUGUGAAGGUCACAGUCCAGAAGAAACCAAAGCAGCUAAAAGAAGAGGAAGAGGGAACAUGAUGUUUAACCUACCCUUAGGCUUUCUUACAUAGUGAGAAGAAAGCAUCAAAAAAAAAAAAAA
Molecule: long non-coding RNA, 573 nt
Organism: Cercocebus atys (sooty mangabey)
Lineage: Eukaryota; Metazoa; Chordata; Mammalia; Primates; Cercopithecidae
Exons: 4
Source: RefSeq, a predicted model, not a curated record